RNAcentral lists this ribosomal RNA (465 nucleotides) under uncultured bacterium. RNAcentral's name for it is "bacterial SSU rRNA". It matches the Rfam family "Bacterial small subunit ribosomal RNA", at positions 28 to 507 of the family's 1533-position model. The record is from RNAcentral.
GACGAACGCUGGCGGCGCGCCUAACACAUGCAAGUCGAACGAGCGAGAGAGAGUUACUUUUUCGAGCGAGUGGCGAACGGGUGAGUAACGCGUGAGGAACCUGCCUCAAAGAGGGGGACAACAGUUGGAAACGACUGCUAAUACCGCAUAAGCCCACGACCCGGCAUCGGGUAGAGGGAAAAGGAGCAAUCCGCUUUGAGAUGGCCUCGCGUCCGAUUAGCUAGUUGGUGAGGUAAUGGCCCACCAAGGCGACGAUCGGUAGCCGGACUGAGAGGUUGAACGGCCACAUUGGGACUGAGACACGGCCCAGACUCCUACGGGAGGCAGCAGUGGGGAAUAUUGCACAAUGGGGGAAACCCUGAUGCAGCGACGCCGCGUGGAGGAAGAAGGUCUUCGGAUUGUAAACUCCUGUUGUUGGGGAAGAUAAUGACGGUACCCAACAAGGAAGUGACGGCUAACUACGUG